This is a non-coding RNA of Camellia sinensis, 635 nucleotides long. The record is from RefSeq and is a predicted model, not a curated record. NCBI's taxonomy places the organism in Eukaryota, Viridiplantae, Streptophyta, Magnoliopsida, Ericales, Theaceae.
UUAGGGUUUCACGCAGAGACACUGAGACACACUCACACACCGCACUCUCUCCUCUCUCUAGUCACAUGGCUGCUGCCGCUGUCGCUCGGCGUCUCCCUUCUCCAGACUCUCCCACCGGCUCUUUGUCUCUCUUACGACAGAUCGACCUAAUCGACUCUCUAAUUUGUCAUUUCCCCUUACAAAUCUGGUCUAUUUGUGUACAAAUCUAGAUUCUCCUUUGCCCUUAGACAGCUAAGGGAUCUUCUCUGUAAAUCUUUUUUGUUGUGUAUGUUUGCAAUUUUUUGAAAAGGUGUUUGUUGGGUCUCAUCUUUCUACAACAAUAUUACUGCUCCUAUUUUUUUUUAAUCAAAAUUCCUACCAUUCCUCAAAUGGGUGAGUUCCACAGUGAGACUCAGGUGGUAGAAAUUUCAGUAAAGGGGGCGGGAUCUCUUAACAUUUUGGUUAUAUACAAGAACUAUUAUUUUUAGUUGAUUGAAUUAUUUUAUUUUGUUAUUUUCGAAAAGUAUAUACAAUAUAUUUGAAGUCUUAGCACUGAAAUUAUCAAUUUCUUUCCAUAUAUUAUGAUUCAUUUUCAAUUGCUUUCAAUAUCUUUAUUUUUUGGUGUGGAUGUUGUUUCAAAAAAAAAAAAAAAAAAA